UAAUUUAGUUAGCCCUCGGCAACAAUAAGGGUGCGUUUUCACCGGAGAUGAGCUAAGCUUCGUUGCGAGGAAUGUGUUUUACAAGAACCAAUAGAAUCGUU
Aricia agestis (brown argus) is the source of this 101-nucleotide long non-coding RNA. RefSeq lists it as uncharacterized. The transcript has 3 exons. The record is from RefSeq and is a predicted model, not a curated record. Lineage: Eukaryota; Metazoa; Arthropoda; Insecta; Lepidoptera; Lycaenidae.